CCCUUCGGGAUGAAAUUAAGUGGAAAGAGCGGCGGACGGGUGAGUAACACGUGGGCAACCUACCUAUAAGACUGGGAUAACUCGCGGAAACGUGAGCUAAUACCGGAUAAUACUUUUUAUUGCAUAAUAAGAAGUUUGAAAGGCGGCGUAAGCUGUCACUUAUAGAUGGGCCCGCGGCGCAUUAGCUAGUUGGUGAGGUAAAGGCUCACCAAGGCAACGAUGCGUAGCCGACCUGAGAGGGUGAUCGGCCACACUGGGACUGAGACACGGCCCAGACUCCUACGGGAGGCAGCAGUAGGGAAUCUUCCGCAAUGGACGAAAGUCUGACGGAGCAACGCCGCGUGAGUGAAGAAGGUUUUCGGAUCGUAAAACUCUGUUGUUAGGGAAAAACAAGUCAGGUAGUAACUGACCUGACCUUGACGGUACCUAACCACAAAGCCACGGCUAACUACGUGCCAGCAGCCGCGGGAGUACGUAGUGGCAAGGGUUGUCCGGAUUUAUUGGACGUAAACUUCUCG
This 518-nucleotide ribosomal RNA is filed under the name Virgibacillus sp. Its description in RNAcentral is "bacterial SSU rRNA". It matches the Rfam family "Bacterial small subunit ribosomal RNA", at positions 76 to 571 of the family's 1533-position model. The record is from RNAcentral. Lineage: Bacteria; Bacillati; Bacillota; Bacilli; Caryophanales; Bacillaceae.